AUGCGAACUGAGUUCUCCUUGUCCGAGCUCGACCACCUUAGUCCCCACCUGUUCGCCUGGCACUGGCUCCCUUCUAGUGGGAUUGCCGGUCACUCGGGUGGCAUCCUCUUAGGUGUCAAGGAUGCCACCUUUGAGGUAGGCAGCAUGGACCGGGGGGAGUUCUUUGUCAGCAUGGAGAUUUUAGAGAGGGCACUGAACUUCAAAUGGGAGAUCAUCAUAGUAUAUGGCCCUGCCGACCACCGUCGGUCCGCGGCAUUCCUUGAUGAGCUCAAAAAUAAGGUGUCUGCCGCCCGCCUUCCGGUCAUCAUGGGCGGUGACUUCAACCUCCUCCGAUUUGCUGAGGACAAAAAUAAAGACCGAGUAAACCUCUCGCGGAUGCAAAUGUUCAACGACUGCAUCGCUGACCUCGGUCUGCGGGAAUUAGAUAGGAUUGGUGCCAGAUUCACCUGGACCAAUCACCAGGCCGACCCGACCCGUUCCGUCCUGGACCGCAUCCUGGUCGCGCCUGAGUGGGAGUUGCGAUGUCCCCUUGCUACCCUUCGUGCCAUUACCCGUAUUGGCUCGAACCACGUUUCCUUGCUGCUCUCCUCUCAGGAUGAACGGCCUCCCGUCGCCCCCAGGUUCCGCUUCAAGACGUUCUGGCUCAACCAGGACGGCUUCUCGGAAGCCGUUCGUGCCCGUUGGCUGGAGGCCCGCAGCUCUCCCCACCGAUCCAUCUCUGCGGUGGAUAAUUGGCAUUUAUGCGCCAAGCGGUCUCGCCAAUUCAUGAAGGGCUGGGGUGCCAACUUAGGGCGGGAUCUCCAUGACCGCAAGCAGGCCCUUCUCACCUCUAUCCAGACACUUGACCUUCAGACUGACUCGAUCGGGCUAUCCGCUGAUGAGUGGAUGCAGCGAUACGACCUUGAGGAUCAGCUCACGGUCAUAUAUACGGACGAGGAGGCCUACUGGCGUCUUAGGGGAACCCAAAAGUGGGUUCUCAUGGGGGACGCUAACACCGCAUAG
RNAcentral lists this ribosomal RNA (1002 nucleotides) under Triticum aestivum (bread wheat). RNAcentral describes it as "partial small subunit ribosomal RNA". Lineage: Eukaryota; Viridiplantae; Streptophyta; Magnoliopsida; Poales; Poaceae. The record is from RNAcentral.